AGCCCAGCACCGAAUCCUUCACCAUCUCGGUGACAGGAAAUGUGGUGUUUAGGCCGUACCUUGUCCCGACACGUCUCUCCUCAAGUCCACUUGAUUGUGGCCCCAGGCCCAGAGAGGGUGUAAGGCCCGUGGAGGCGAGACGUUCGGUACCUGGUGCGUCCUUAGAGUCGGGUUGUUUGGGAAUGCAGCCCUAAGCGGGUGGUAAACUCCAUCCAAGGCUAAAUACCAGCACGAGUCCGAUAGCGAAGAAGUACCGCGAGGGAAGGUUGAAAAGAACUUUGAAGAGAGAGUUCAAGAGUACGUGAAACCGCUGAGAGGCAAACUGGUGGAACUGAAAUGGUCCCGAGGAAUUCAGCCGUUGGUCGUUGCACAGUCUUUGGUGAUUGAUCUAACGACGGCGCCAUUGAAUGACGUUUCGAUCAUCGGUGCACUUUCCUCGCCUGGGCCCGACCACGACCGGUGAGCUGAUCUGUCUGUCGUGCUUGGAAGAUAGCGCCGUCUUCGGAAGGCGUGUUAUAGACAGGCAUACGGAGCAGUCGGCGCACUGGAUGAUAGUGCCUGCCCAUCUGGGCUCAUAUGGUGGUUGUUUUGUUGGCGAGUUCUGAUGUCACUACUUCGGUAGAGUCGUUAGACUCUGUUGGCAUUAUGGCUGUCCUCUAUGAUUGGCACUGUUAAGUCUGUGGUUGUGAAGUAGGUAGUCCACCUGACCCGUCUUGAAACACGGACCAAGGAGUCUAACAUGUGCGCGAGUCAUUGGGUUCACGAAACCUAAAGGCGCAGUGAAGGUAAAGAUCUGUUUUGGCAGAUUGAGGUGGGAUGCCGGGUUACGCGCCCGGCCGCACUACCGGCCCGUUCUAUAUGUCUUUCAUAGGAGCGGAGCAAGAGCGUACACGUUGGGACCCGAAAGAUGGUGAACUAUGCUUGCGCAGGU
Molecule: ribosomal RNA, 931 nt
Filed under: Thysanozoon brocchii
Lineage: Eukaryota; Metazoa; Platyhelminthes; Polycladida; Pseudocerotidae
Description: partial large subunit ribosomal RNA
Rfam family: Eukaryotic large subunit ribosomal RNA
Source: RNAcentral